AGAGUUUGAUCCUGGCUCAGGAUGAACGCUAGCUACAGGCUUAACACAUGCAAGUCGAGGGGCAGCAUGGUCUUAGCUUGCUAAGGCUGAUGGCGACCGGCGCACGGGUGAGUAACGCGUAUCCAACUUCCCCUUAGUAGGGCAUAGCCCGGCGAAAGUCGGAUUAACACCCUAUGUUUUCCGUUGCGGGCAUCUAAUAUGGAACAAAGAUUUAUCGCUAAGGGAUGGGGAUGCGUCUGAUUAGGUAGUAGGCGGGGUAACGGCCCACCUAGCCUUCGAUCAGUAGGGGUUCUGAGAGGAAGGUCCCCCACAUUGGAACUGAGACACGGUCCAAACUCCUACGGGAGGCAGCAGUGAGGAAUAUUGGUCAAUGGCCGAGAGGCUGAACCAGCCAAGUAGCGUGCAGGACGACGGCCCUAUGGGUUGUAAACUGCUUUUAUGCGGGGAUAAAGUCGCCCACGUGUGGGUGUUUGCAGGUACCGCAUGAAUAAGGACCGGCUAAUUCCGUGCC
Molecule: ribosomal RNA, 511 nt
Filed under: uncultured bacterium
Lineage: Bacteria
Description: bacterial SSU rRNA
Rfam family: Bacterial small subunit ribosomal RNA
Source: RNAcentral